Molecule: signal recognition particle RNA, 97 nt
Filed under: Alphaproteobacteria bacterium
Lineage: Bacteria; Pseudomonadati; Pseudomonadota; Alphaproteobacteria
Description: signal recognition particle sRNA small type
Rfam family: Bacterial small signal recognition particle RNA
About the family: The signal recognition particle (SRP) is a universally conserved ribonucleoprotein involved in the co-translational targeting of proteins to membranes. Archaeal SRP consists of a 7S RNA and homologues of the eukaryotic SRP19 and SRP54 proteins.
Source: RNAcentral
GGAGGUUGGCGGCGGGCGAAUCCCGUGCCAACCCGGUCAGGUCCGAAAGGAAGCAGCCGUAACACGUUUCGAUCCGGGUCGCCGUUCAAUCUCCCAC